This 718-nucleotide long non-coding RNA is filed under the name Salmo salar (Atlantic salmon). Its description in RNAcentral is "lncRNA (ENSSSAG00000092715.1, ENSSSAG00000096013.1)". The record is from RNAcentral. Lineage: Eukaryota; Metazoa; Chordata; Actinopteri; Salmoniformes; Salmonidae.
UGCUACAGUCUGUAUAGGACUAUAAGCGUGACAAAAUCGUGGAACAGUUCCUUUUAUGAUGACUGAAUGGAUGGAUUUAAAGAAUAUGGUUCUGAAUAUAAACAGCAACACCUCCACCACUGGCAUUUCUGUAUUUUCGAGUCAUGGCUGAACGACGACAAUAUCAACAUUCAGCUGGCUGGUUAUACGAUGUACCGGCAGGAUAGAACAGUGGCGUCUGGAUGUGGCGAGUCAUCCCGGGGUCAUUGUAUGGCUUCCAAGUCUAAGAUAAAUGGGGAUUUAUUAUUGUUAUGUUUGGCUAUAUGCAUCUGAGUUGAGGCCUGAGGGGUAGGAGAAAGACUGAAGUUGUUUCUCGGGUUUGGUUUUAUGGGUACCUGAAUGAAAUACAGUGAGAAAUGGGUCGUGUUCAUUACAGCACAACUAUAGCAAAAUGUUUCAAAAUGUCCCUCCCUGUAUCAGUAUGUUUUCUUCCGUUUGGUGCUUAAUGAAUACAACCCUGGUGAUACUGCUCGGGUGCCACUAUAAACCACCAUGUCCUUUUGAACUUUGCCAUACAACAUUUCCUGAAGGGGAGUGAAGAAUCCCAGCUCACAUAUUGGCUGUAUAAUAACUGACUUGUUAGACUCUAGCUCCGCUUCAGUGCAUUGGCCCCAAUGUUGUCAUUACACACUCUUUAUGCUGGUAAUGUACAGUAGUUGCCCAUAACCACAGAUUCUCC